GGGAAUGUUGCUCAGUGGUAGAGUGCUUGCCUUGCAUGUAUGAGGCCCUGGGUUCAAUUCCUCAGCACCA
RNAcentral lists this transfer RNA (70 nucleotides) under Dipodomys ordii (Ord's kangaroo rat). It matches the Rfam family "tRNA". From Rfam's summary of the family: Transfer RNA (tRNA) molecules are approximately 80 nucleotides in length. Their secondary structure includes four short double-helical elements and three loops (D, anti-codon, and T loops). The record is from Rfam by way of RNAcentral. Lineage: Eukaryota; Metazoa; Chordata; Mammalia; Rodentia; Heteromyidae.